CGUCCCGCCGCCGUUUCGGGCACGGCCCCCUGCGAUCUUCGCCCUCGCUGCCCCGCUCCGGUCCUCAGCGCCCCCCGCGGGGCGCCGCGCUCAGCUGCUCGGGGUGACCCCGGGACUGCCUUCGGUCUGUGUUUACGCGAGGAUUAACAGUGAAGGAUUCGGGAAGCCUCUUCACGUGUAAUACGAUCUUGCUCAAAAGUUUUGCUUCGUAACAAAACAAACAGGGCCAAAAGAAAGCACAAACAGAAGAUAAGGAGGAUCGGCAUACCCUCUAGGAAAAGUCCAAAGUGCUUCUCCCCGCUGUUAUCAUUAUCAUCCUAUCUGAAAGCAUUACCUUUUUCCUGUUUGGCACAAAGCACUCUGUGUUUGUCACCAGACUUUGUGCAGUCCCUGAGAAAGGGCCAGCAAGUGGCCGAAGUGUAAGGAACAAUAGAUCCAGCAUAAAUAACAGCAUGGAUCUGAGUUUAGGUCGGGAGCAGGAGAAUUACAAAUGUUUGAGAAGCUUCAAGAAGAGCUUUAAAGCAUAUCAGCAUUGCUAAAGAUGGGGUUUUGCACAUUUUUUAAGCUUUAAAGUUUUAAAAACUUCUGGAUUGUUAAUGCUCAUUUGUUUUCCUGAGUUGGAAACAGUCCGAAGACAACAAUGUGGUUUUGCUAUGAAGGAAACAUGCUGAGAUCAGCCCGUGUCUCUGUCCAGAACUGCUGACUUCAGGGUGCACUGCUAAGUGCUUUUCAUCUCAUGGUAACCCAUGUGUAUUUGUGCUGCUGGGAACAAGUACAGCUCUUUGUAUGUUUUUGCUACACGCAGUCACAAAUCACAAUGGCUGCUUUCUAACAGCACCAUAUAAAGUGGGCAGCAAAAGUCCCUUCCGCUCAAGCCUCUCUUCCCAGGCUGGACGUUGCAGAGCAUCUAAUAAUGCUGAAAAGAGGAAUGGCUGGAAGAUAAGGAAACUUUGAGCCCUGUGAGAUAUGUGUGAGUGAUCUGUUACAAAGAGUCAUCUUAUCAUGGAAACACUGGAGGGAUUUAUUUCUUGCUGUCAGUGGCAGAGUCCAUAACUGCUGCUGCUCGAGCAAACAGCACCAGGGUUGAUAGAGACACUGAAGAGUCAGCCCUUCCUUUUAGAUCAAUGUCAUCCCUCCUGUAACGCUGUCAGACAAGGAAAUGAUUGCAGAAUAUUGCAGUCGUACAAAUAAAUGUGCGCUUCAGUGGAAUAAGAGGCAUAGCUGAGAGUGGGGUUGGGGUCAGACAUUAAGGUUGCACUCACAUUAUCUGCAUUUUAGUCCCAGUUCUGCCACAGACCUCCCCUUCUGUCUCUCGUUGUAUCUUGGAGGGUGUCUGAGUGUAACACAGUGCAGCUUGCUCUAUGGUUGGCAUAGUACUCUUAUUGGAAAUAGAGUGUAAACUUCUGCUUUCCAGGGCUGUGUCUACACGAGUUUCCACCUCUGCAGCACUGCCAUUAGUUUGAUGCUGCUAUGUGAAAAAAACCCUCCAAAAACACACAGCAAACCAGGUGGUUUCCAUUUCAAGUCCUUUACCCUUGCCUCUUCGAGCAGUCAUGGGCUGUCUGAUCUGCAGCCUGUUCAGGAUGAUGAAAGUCUCUGCAUUCACCUCCAUAGGCUUCAGGUCAAACCCAAUGAAAUUAAUUACAGAAACAUUUUGCAGGAAACAAACAAUGACUGAGUUAAAUGUAAACUUAGUUGAAGGCUUUUUUAGUUAAAGUGUUGUUGUAAUUAUAGUGACUGUGAUGAUAAAAGGUCAGGGUUUCUCGUUUAAACAAAGAGAUUAGAUUAAAUUAAAGCAUGACACGCUGACUUUUGAAUAACUGCAUAUAAGCAAAUUUAUAGCAAUAAACUUGCCAAGGGAAUGACUAACCUGUUGCUGAGAAUAAAGCUGUAAGCAAAAAGAUGUAAAUAGUAGGAACAGCCUCACUAAGGACCAGACUCCAGGCACUAACUGAGCUGCUUUGCUCUAAGGCAGCGGCUUCAGAAGUCAGUAUCAUGGGCAGUAAUAUCAGUGAGUGUUGUUUUCCCUCCUGGCUCCCAGGGAUGCUCCAUUUCACCCCUUGCUGCUGCCUGCCUGUGCUCCAGCACUGACCUUGGUACAGCUUUUCCAUGGAUCACGCAGUGAAACCGAGCCCGCUUUUGAGCACGCACGCACAGAAACAAGGAAACGUAUCUUACCAGGUCAUUUUUUAUUGCAGAUCAUCCCCCUGAUCUGCCACGGAGCGUGGGCUCUCGGGUGCUGGCACUGAUGCCCGGUCCAGGGUAGCAUGAGGUGAGCUGAAGCAGGGUGGCUGGUUCAGGAGCGGGCACUGGUUGGCCUUCAGCACCUCAAGUCAGCUUCUCCUUUGCAAAGGGCUCAGCAAAGAUUUCACGUGACCUGAAGAUCACCAUAAAUAACCAUUUGGGGGUUUCUGUUUAUUUGUUUUAAUGUGGUCAGAUGGUGUUUUUAUGGUAACCGUUUGCUUAACGAAAUGUUGAACUGUGUAGGAAGUGAUGGAGCUUUGAUUACUCGUUCACCAAAAUUCAGGAGUUUGAAUGUGAAUACUCCUCACUCUGCCAUUCCUAGCAUGUCAUUACUCCAACUAGGAGCAUGCUUAAGAUAUUUAAAUAAUAUCCCAUUCAGCUACACACAGGAGAAAACGCAUUCACACAGUACAAUAAUGCAAUUGUGCCUUUCCUCUGAGAUGGCAAAAAGGGGCGAUUGGAGCCAUUCUGAGAAAAGCAAAGGCAGUCAGACAGAUUGGGCACGAGGAAACAUGAAAUCAGAUAGCAAACGUGAAAGAAGGGCUCCUCUGCAUUCAGAGCAGAGCGCAAAGCCAACAAAGCCAACUGUGUGAGAUGAGAAACCCCAGCACUGCACUAGCCAGAGGGAUAUGCAGAUUUGGGCUUUUUUUCAGACCAGACAAGAAAAGAGAGCAUGAGCAGUCUGGUGCUCUUCUGACUCUCACUGGUGCACACCAGGAGCAGCUAUGCUUAGGGAGCUCAUCUCAGCACAGGUAUGCUGCAGUAACUAUGAUUUAAGUCAAACAAAGGGUCAGGCCUCAAUCACUAAGUGCAAAACCUGGCCUCCUACUUCCUAAUGGCCAUCAUAGCUUUGUGGCACUGUCCUAAAGAACCCCAGGUGUUGGUGACAACUGCUCACAGCACAAACGCUGGGACCUCUACUGCUCAGCCAACGGGUCAGCAGCAGAGGAGGUCCACGUUUAACCAAAGAGAACACAAAGACACUCCUAUGGUUGCUAAUGUUUGUUUGUUCUACAAAUACCGAGACAAGAUUCCUUUUUGGCCAGUCUGCAGGUCUGAUUAAUGUAUUUUUUUAGUUGCUUUUUUGUGACUAUAAACAGGGAGGUGACUUCGGGUUGUAAUACACAGAGGCCACAACUGCUAAAAAUAGACCACAACAACUUAAUGCACACAUCAGCGUUUAACCGCCACGCUCCCGUAUACCCCAGCUCUUUAAAGGCCCUGCACACGGACACACCAGUGUAUCUGGAGGCACAUUGCCCUGCUCUGGUUGAGAAUUACCUUGUCCAGAGAGCAUGAGGAAGGAGACCGAGCAAAGGGAGCACUGAGCAGGAGGCAGAAGAGCUGCUCAGAGACAUGUGGCUGAAUGCUGCCCCAUCCCGCAGGGAUGGGAGGGCAAGUGCUUUCCCCUGGGGAAGGCAGCAUUCCAGCCCUCUCAGUGAUGCACAGCAUUAUUUUCAACUGCAAACAGUUUUUAAAAUAGCAGCCUAUAAGAUCGAGACAGAGAAGGAAGAAAAGGGUGUGAUGGGAAUCGGAACGAUGCAAUUUCUAUGGAUUUUUUUCUUGUGAAGUCAUGAGCCUAGAAAUAAAUCUGACAAAGCAAAGUCAAAACCUUCCCCUUUCCCACAGUGGACUGCAG
This is a long non-coding RNA of Gallus gallus (chicken), 3883 nucleotides long. The record is from Ensembl. Lineage: Eukaryota; Metazoa; Chordata; Aves; Galliformes; Phasianidae.